GGGGUUGUGACUCAGUGGUAGAGCGCUCGCAUAGCAUGUGAGAGGCCCUGGGUUCAAUCCUCAGCACCA
This 69-nucleotide transfer RNA is filed under the name Ictidomys tridecemlineatus (thirteen-lined ground squirrel). RNAcentral describes it as "Spermophilus tridecemlineatus (thirteen-lined ground squirrel) tRNA". It matches the Rfam family "tRNA". From Rfam's summary of the family: Transfer RNA (tRNA) molecules are approximately 80 nucleotides in length. Lineage: Eukaryota; Metazoa; Chordata; Mammalia; Rodentia; Sciuridae. The record is from Rfam by way of RNAcentral.